RNAcentral lists this ribosomal RNA (428 nucleotides) under uncultured bacterium. Its description in RNAcentral is "partial 16S ribosomal RNA". It matches the Rfam family "Bacterial small subunit ribosomal RNA", at positions 354 to 796 of the family's 1533-position model. The record is from RNAcentral.
GUAGGGAAUAUUGCGCAAUGGACGAAAGUCUGACGCAGCGACGCCGCAUGAGUGAUGAAGGCCUUAGGGUCGUAAAGCUCUGUUGAAUGGGAAGAAAAAAAUGACGGUACCAUUCGAGGAAGGACCGGCUAACUUCGUGCCAGCAGCCGCGGUAAUACGAGGGGUCCUAGCGUUGUUCGGAAUCAUUGGGCGUAAAGGGUGUGUAGGUGGCCAUGUAAGUCAGGUGUGAAAGCCCCGGGCUCAACCCGGGAAGUGCACUUGAUACUGCGUGGCUUGAGUACCGAAGAGGGUAGUGGAAUUCCAGGUGUAGUGGUGAAAUACGUAGAUAUCUGGAGGAACACCGGUGGCGAAGGCGGCUACCUGGUCGAGUACUGACACUGAGACACGAAAGCAUGGGGAUCAAACAGGAUUAGAAACCCUAGUAGUCC